Molecule: ribosomal RNA, 642 nt
Filed under: uncultured archaeon
Lineage: Archaea
Description: bacterial SSU rRNA
Rfam family: Archaeal small subunit ribosomal RNA
Source: RNAcentral
AGUGCCUCUUCGAGAGGCAUUAGUGCUGUAGGGAAGCCGGAGAGUGUGCUACCUGGGAAGUAUAGCCGCAAGGCCGAAACUUAAAGGAAUAGGCGGGGGAGUACCACAACGAGUGACGCGUACGGUUCAAUUAGAUUCUACACCGUGAACCUUACCAGGAUCGACAGCAGAAUGAAGGUCAGUCUAAAGGGCUUACCUGACACGCUGAGAGGAGAUGCAUGGCCGACGUCAGCCUGUGUCGUGAGAUGACCAGUUAAAUCUGGUAACAGGCGAGACCCGUAUGUAUAUUUGCAUUGAACAAUAUACAGACUGCCUGGGUAACCAGGAGGAAGGUGCGGGCUACGUUAGGUGAGUACGUCCCGAAUACCCUGGGUAACACGCGCGCGUCAAUGCUAGAUACAAAAGGAUGCGACACCGAAAGGUGAAGCCAAUCUUAUAAAACCUAGCCUAGUUCAGAUCGAGGAUUGCAAUUCAUCCUCGUGACGCUGGAAUUCGUAGUAAUCGGGUUUUAUCAGAGCCCGGUGAAUAGGUCCCUGCUCCUUGCACUCACCGCCCGUCAAACCAACCGAGUUUUGCAUCGACGAGGCUCGUCAGAGACGAAUUUUUGUAAGACAAGGUAGGUUAAGUCGUAACAAGGUAGCC